CUUCAGACUCCGCACAACGUGCGCGUUGUGAAUCCGCUAGGCGGGGAACCGAGCAACGGCAGCAAAAGCGGCGUGUGUUGCGGGUUAGUCUGAAGCCU
Molecule: signal recognition particle RNA, 98 nt
Filed under: Acidobacteriota bacterium
Lineage: Bacteria; Pseudomonadati; Acidobacteriota
Description: signal recognition particle sRNA small type
Rfam family: Bacterial small signal recognition particle RNA
About the family: The signal recognition particle (SRP) is a universally conserved ribonucleoprotein involved in the co-translational targeting of proteins to membranes.
Source: RNAcentral